GACGAACGCUGGCGGCGUGCUUAACACAUGCCAGUCGGACGGAAAGGCCCUGCUUUUGUGGGGUGCUCGAGUGGCGAACGGGUGAGUAACACGUGAGUAACCUGCCCUUGACUUUGGGAUAACUUCAGGAAACCGGGGCUAAUACCGGAUAGGAGCUCCUGCUGCAUGGUGGGGGUUGGAAAGUUUCGGCGGUUGGGGAUGGACUCGCGGCUUAUCAGCUUGUUGGUGGGGUAGUGGCUUACCAAGGCUUUGACGGGUAGCCGGCCUGAGAGGGUGACCGGCCACAUUGGGACUGAGAUACGGCCCAGACUCCUACGGGAGGCAGCAGUGGGGAAUAUUGCACAAUGGGCGGAAGCCUGAUGCAGCAACGCCGCGUGCGGGAUGACGGCCUUCGGGUUGUAAACCGCUUUCGCCUGUGACGAAGCGUGAGUGACGGUAAUGGGUAAAGAAGCACCGGCUAACUACGUG
RNAcentral lists this ribosomal RNA (468 nucleotides) under uncultured bacterium. Its description in RNAcentral is "partial 16S ribosomal RNA". It matches the Rfam family "Bacterial small subunit ribosomal RNA", at positions 28 to 507 of the family's 1533-position model. The record is from RNAcentral.